UACAGAGGGUGCAAGCGUUAAUCGGAAUUACUGGGCGUAAAGGGCGCGUAGGUGGUUUGAUAAGUUAGGUGUGAAAGUCCUGGGCUUAACCUGGGGACUGCGCUUAAUACUGUUAAGCUAGAGUACUGUAGAGGGAGGUGGAAUUUCCGGUGUAGCGGUGAAAUGCGUAGAUAUCGGAAGGAACAUCAGUGGCGAAGGCGACUUCCUGGACAGAUACUGACACUGAGGCACGAAAGCAUGGGGAGCAAACAGG
RNAcentral lists this ribosomal RNA (253 nucleotides) under uncultured bacterium. Its description in RNAcentral is "partial 16S ribosomal RNA". It matches the Rfam family "Bacterial small subunit ribosomal RNA", at positions 524 to 776 of the family's 1533-position model. The record is from RNAcentral.